Molecule: long non-coding RNA, 162 nt
Organism: Oncorhynchus masou masou (cherry salmon)
Lineage: Eukaryota; Metazoa; Chordata; Actinopteri; Salmoniformes; Salmonidae
Exons: 3
Source: RefSeq, a predicted model, not a curated record
AGUUUUUCAUCUAUGAAUGAGACUGCUUUAUUGAAAGAGUCGCCAUGACAAUUCCACUUCUGAUGUUUGUUUUGCUGACUCUACCCUGCUACAAUGCUCAUGGGCAAGUCAAUCCUUUUGGAGUUCCAGUCUCUGCCCAUGCUGGGAAGUUCUAUGACACGU